This 774-nucleotide ribosomal RNA is filed under the name uncultured Neocallimastigales. RNAcentral describes it as "partial large subunit ribosomal RNA". It matches the Rfam family "Eukaryotic large subunit ribosomal RNA", at positions 18 to 643 of the family's 3401-position model. Lineage: Eukaryota; Fungi; Neocallimastigomycota; Neocallimastigomycetes; Neocallimastigales. The record is from RNAcentral.
UCAGACGAUGCGUCAUGCAUAUCAAUAAGCGGAGGAAAAGAAACUAACAAGGAUUCCCCUAGUAGCGGCGAGUGAAGCGGGAAGAGCUCAAAUUUGAAAUCUUAAAGGGUUUCCCUUUACGAAUUGUAGUUUAAAGAAGUGUUUUCUGUUGAGGUUUUGGUAAAAGUUCUUUGGAAUAGGACAUCAUAGAGGGUGAGAAUCCCGUAUUUGACCUUUACUUUCAACUUUGUGAUACACUUUCAAAGAGUCGGAUUGUUUGGGAAUGCAGUCCAAAAUGGGUGGUAAAUUUCAUCUAAAGCUAAAUAUUGGCGAGAGACCGAUAGCGAACAAGUACCGUGAGGGAAAGAUGAAAAGAACUUUGAAAAGAGAGUUAAACAGUACGUGAAAUUGUCAAAAGGGAAGCGUUUGACACCAGUGUUGUUUUUCUGAAAAUCAAUUAAAGAACUGUUUAUGCUAAGCUGUUUAGACUUUAUCAGCUAUCUGUUUAGUUUUGAGCUUUUCUUUAAUGCACUUUUCAGUUAACAAGUCAACAUCAAUUUCUUUUGCUGUAAAAAAGCUUGAGGAAGGUGGCUUGAGAUUCGUCUUAAGUGUUUAUAGCCUCUUGCCUAUGCAGUCGGAGAGAUUGAGGUCUGCAGCGUAGAUCCUUCGGGGCUAAAUGCAUUUGUGCUAAGUUAUAGCAUUUUAUAGACAACUUGUUGACUAUGAUUUGUCUUGUAGCUUACUCGCUUAUGUUAUUUUACCUACGCUUAGGAUGUUGACACACGCGCGUGCUCG